RNAcentral lists this ribosomal RNA (551 nucleotides) under Periophthalmus modestus (shuttles hoppfish). Its description in RNAcentral is "partial 16S rRNA". It matches the Rfam family "Bacterial large subunit ribosomal RNA", at positions 1853 to 2604 of the family's 2925-position model. The record is from RNAcentral. Lineage: Eukaryota; Metazoa; Chordata; Actinopteri; Gobiiformes; Gobiidae.
UCCCGCCUGCCCUGUGACUCAUGAGUUUAACGGCCGCAGUAUUUUGACUGUGCAAAGGUAGCGUAAUCACUUGUCUUUUAAAUGGAGACCAGUAUGAAUGGCAUAACGAGGGCCAAGCUGUCUCCUUUUUCCAGUCAAUGAAAUUGAUUCCCCUGUGCAGAAGCAGGGAUAAAAACAUAAGACGAGAAGACCCUAUGGAGCUUAAGACACAAGACAGCCCAUGUUAAAAACCCAUAUUAAAUGGAAAAAACCAAAUGGACUCUGUCCUUUUGUCUUUGGUUGGGGCGACCAUGGAGUAACAAAAAACCCCCAUGUGGAACAGGGCCUAGGCCCUUAAAGCUAGAGCCACAGCUCUAACAAGCAGAACAUCUGACCUUCAAGAUCCGGCAAAGCCGAUCAACGGACCGAGUUACCCUAGGGAUAACAGCGCAAUCCCCUUUUAGAGCCCAUAUCGACAAGGGGGUUUACGACCUCGAUGUUGGAUCAGGACACCCUAAUGGUGCAGCCGCUAUUAAGGGUUCGUUUGUUCAACGAUUAAAGUCCUACGUGAU